UACAGAGGUCUCAAGCGUUGUUCGGAUUCAUUGGGCGUAAAGGGUGCGUAGGCGGCGCGGUAAGUCGGGUUUGAAAUCUUGGAGCUUAACUCCGAAACUGCAUUCGAUACUGCCGUGCUUGAGGACUGGAGAGGAGACUGGAAUUUACGGUGUAGCGGUGAAAUGCGUAGAUAUCGUAAGGAAGACCAGUGGCGAAGGCGGGUCUCUGGACAGUUCCUGACGCUGAGGCACGAAGGCCAGGGGAGCAAACGGG
This 253-nucleotide ribosomal RNA is filed under the name uncultured bacterium. RNAcentral's name for it is "partial 16S ribosomal RNA". It matches the Rfam family "Bacterial small subunit ribosomal RNA", at positions 524 to 776 of the family's 1533-position model. The record is from RNAcentral.